CAGCAGCCACGGGAAUACAGAGGGUGCAAGCGUUAAUCGGAUUUACUGGGCGUAAAGGGCGCGUAGGUGGUUAUGUAAGUGAGAUGUGAAAUCCCCGGGCUCAACCUGGGAACUGCAUCUUAUACUGCGUAGCUGGAGUGCAGUAGAGGGUAGUGGAAUUUCCGGUGUAGCGGUGAAAUGCGUAGAUAUCGGAAGGAACACCAGUGGCGAAGGCGGCUACCUGGACUGACACUGACACUGAGGCGCGAGAGCGUGGGGAGCAAACAGGAUUAGAUACCCGUGUAGUCCCUGUCUCUUAUAC
RNAcentral lists this ribosomal RNA (301 nucleotides) under uncultured bacterium. RNAcentral's name for it is "partial 16S ribosomal RNA". It matches the Rfam family "Bacterial small subunit ribosomal RNA", at positions 509 to 807 of the family's 1533-position model. The record is from RNAcentral.